This 468-nucleotide ribosomal RNA is filed under the name uncultured bacterium. Its description in RNAcentral is "partial 16S ribosomal RNA". It matches the Rfam family "Bacterial small subunit ribosomal RNA", at positions 28 to 507 of the family's 1533-position model. The record is from RNAcentral.
GACGAACGCUGGCGGCGUGCUUAACACAUGCAAGUCGAACGGACGGGCCCUGCUUUUGUGGGGUGCUCGAGUGGCGAACGCGUGAGUAACACGUGAGUAACCUGCCCUUGACUUUGGGAUAACUUCAGGAAACUGGGGCUAAUACCGGAUAUGAGCUCCUGCUGCAUGUUGUGGGUUGGAAAGUUUCGGCGGUUGGGGCUGGACUCGCGGCUUAUCAGCUUGUUUGUCGGGUAGUGGCUUACCAAGCCUUUGACGGGUAGCCGGCCUGAGAGGGUGAACGGGCACAUUGGGACUGAGAUACGGACCAGACGCCAACGGGAGGCAGUAGGGGGGAAUAUUGCACAAUGGGCGGAAGCCUGAUGCAGCAACGCCGCGUGCGGGAUGACGUGCUUCGGGUUGUAAACCGCUUUCGCCUGUGACGAAGCGUGCGUGACGGUAAUGGGUAAAGAAGCACCGGCUAACUACGUG